This 467-nucleotide ribosomal RNA is filed under the name uncultured Alphaproteobacteria bacterium. Its description in RNAcentral is "bacterial SSU rRNA". It matches the Rfam family "Bacterial small subunit ribosomal RNA", at positions 9 to 524 of the family's 1533-position model. Lineage: Bacteria; Pseudomonadati; Pseudomonadota; Alphaproteobacteria. The record is from RNAcentral.
GAGUUUGAUCCUGGCUCAGAGCGAACGCUGGCGGCAGGCCUAACACAUGCAAGUCGAGCGCCCAGCAAUGGGAGCGGCAGACGGGAUAGUAACACGUGGGAACAUGCCCUUCAGUUCGGAACAACCAAGGGAAACUUUGGCUAAUACCGGAUACGCCCUUACGGGGAAAGAUUUAUCGCUGAAGGAUUGGCCCGCGUCUGAUUAGCUUGUUGGUGAGGUAACGGCUCACCAAGGCUACGAUCAGUAGCUGGUCUGAGAGGAUGACCAGCAUCACUGGGACUGAGACACGGCCCAGACUCCUACGGGAGGCAGCAGUGGGGAAUAUUGGACAAUGGGCGCAAGCCUGAUCCAGCCAUGCCGCGUGGAUGAUGAAGGCCCUAGGGUUGUAAAGUCCUUUUAACGGGGAAGAUAAUGACGGUACCCGUAGAAUAAGCCCCGGCUAACUUCGUGCCAGCAGCCGCAGUAAG